UGUUCUCAUCUUAAUAGUGGAGGAACCUCAUGGUCAUGUUGCUUGGACAUAUCUGACUACCUGGUUAGCUCUCUCCUUGAGGUUGAGUGUGCGCCUCCUGCGAGGGAAACUUUGCGGACGAGGAGGUUUUUCCUUGAGUGAUUCACCAAUAAUUGAAUCACAUGAAUUAGAGACGGAUAAUCUUUUGGAAUGCCCUUUAUACUAACGGGCAGGAAUCCAUCUAUAAUCCGUCUCUAAAGCCGUGUUAGAGACGGAAUAUAGAUGGAUCCUCCCAUUCGUAAUUGACUGUUUUCUAGUAGUGUAACACAAAGUAUAAGUAAGAGCAUCAAAUCGAUUCCUCUCUAUCCGUUGCGUGGAUUUGCCGGUGCUCGUUUGUCCAGAUUAGCAUGGGCCAUGGCAUCGGGGUUCGGCCAAGUAUAUAAAUUGGAUGUCGUUAGCGCUGGCAAGAACUUCACGAAGAUCCGGAAAGCAGUCACAGCAGGGUUCUUCUCCCACGCAGCAAGGAUCCAUGGGGAGGUUACCGGGCCAUAGUCAGAACCAGCCAGCAGCGCCGUCUUCCUAAUUGGGUGAUAUACCACGGGCUGGUCAUUGCCGCUAAUGAGUACACGCUUGGGGUUACUGAGAUCUAAGCAAAAGAAACUAUGGAUGAGGAGGGAGAAAUGGAUGGUCCGCCUGGCAGCUCCAUUCCAAGAGAGAUCGUGUUCGAGAUACUGACGAGACUCCCGCCGAACAUGUACUCUUUGGACAGCGACAAUAAGUCGAGCCUCGGGGAGGACUGCCCAUGGUUCAAUCUGCUUGUACCCUAUCUUGAACCUGCCAAUGACGGAAUCAUGGACACAUGGCUAGGACCACGCAUCACCCUUGCUUCCCGCAGUCCGUUGGGGGCCUCAUCUGCCUCGAGUUUAAUUACCAUGUCGAGAUCUAUAACCCCAGCACCAGGGAACAUAUAUGUAGGACUUUCUUGCACUUCAAUCCUGUCGAGAACCGACACAAAUCUUUCCAGUCGCAUGAGGAUACUAUUCCAAUAAAAUGCGUCACCAUGUGUUUGUUCCAGGCAGUAAGAGAUGGAGGGAGAUAGAAGACAACCAUCCGGUCGGUCAGCAGGUUACUCGUUGUGGAGGCGAGGUCUGCAUCGAUGGGAUCCUAUACGACACAGGUUUGCCAGUGACAGUAAGUUAUCAUGGCCACCUCCCCGGAACUUGGUUGCCUUCAACGGCGUCCGAUCAAUCCCCAUUGGAUGUAAGAGAGGAGACAGAGGCUCGUGGAAUUCUUGGAUGGGCGUGUAGCUAUAGUCUAUUAACCAGAGUUUGGCAACGACCACCUUAGACGGAGUCGUCCAGUGGAUUUCAUAGAUCACAUCCAAUUGAAGAUUUUGGAGAAGGGCUCCCAAUCGAUCUCGAAACAAUUUGAUUUGCCAUCACGGGAGGUCUUCCCUCGGUACGGGGAGUUCAAGGUAGCCUCUGCGGCGACGAAUUACUAUGGUUUGUAUGGACCCCUCAAAAGUCGAACUCCUCCUUCCUCUCCUACGACGCUCCGAAAGAAGUGUUCCGGAAAUUAGCUGAACAAGUUCCACGUACACUAGGCUAUCCCAUCUACUAUCCAUCCCAUGAUAAAGCCUUCGUCUGCGAUCAUGCGGAGAACCUAUUGCCAUUGAAAGGUUGGGCCGAUGAGGUUCCGGUGUUAAAAGCAUAAAGACAGAGGUCCAUGAUAGAUUAUUGAUCGGGUCUCGACACAGCAUAUAUGUAAUUGAUGAUGCUUAUCCGACUAAUUAGACGUAAAAUCUUCGUGUAUCAAGAUUAGCUUAACUUUCCAGAAUCCUUCACACCCAGAG
Molecule: non-coding RNA, 1831 nt
Organism: Punica granatum (pomegranate)
Lineage: Eukaryota; Viridiplantae; Streptophyta; Magnoliopsida; Myrtales; Lythraceae
Source: RefSeq, a predicted model, not a curated record